AAAACAGAAUACUUUCGGCUUCACGGUAUGCUACAAGUGGCUGGUUGGAAGAGGAAGAGGGCGAGGACGAGGGCGAGGGCGAGGGCGAGGGUUGUGCUCUGCUGCUGUUCUCCCCUGCUCUGGUCUGCUCUGCCUCGGACGCCAUCUUGGCUUCCAUUAUAUGCCGGCUGCAGCCAAUCACAGGACGGGUGGGAGACAGUCCACCAAUCCGCGCCUGGUUGUGGCACAUCCCUGUUUGAAUAAAGAAACCAGAAAGACACAAAAAGAAACCCACAAACACUCCACAUAUGACCCCAGUCAUAACACCGCCUAACCCUAACCCUCCUCCUGUUUGUACUUUCUCCCUUUCCUCUUGCUGACUUUUUUCAUAUAUCCUUGGGGGGAGCCUUUAGACAAAUUUUAACACCUUUCAUGGAACUUAUUCUUAACCCAGUGUUCCCUAGACUUGCACGUUUUCUUACCCCAUCUUACCCACCCCAUUCCACCUGAUUUUCCAGGAACCAUAUUAAGUGAUGAGCUAUAGACCCCUGAAGCUUUUCACCCCCAUCCACGACCCACCCCCACCCCUUCACACACAACCCCCAUAGGACACCUGACUACUUACUUGAUUUAAAAGAUGUGCCAGUCAAGUCUACAUUGUAAAUGCUUAGAUAUUAUGUCUUAUUGAUAAUAUCAAUGCAUAAAAUAAUGCAACAAGCUGUAGAUGAACAAUAAUUUAUUGAACUGGAACAUCGAUUGAACUGGACACAUGGGCACUGGUCUUGAUAUAUGUUCUCUCUUCCACUCCUCUCCUAUCUCAUCCUGUCCUCUUCUCUCCACACCAGGCAGUCAGACAAAUGUAAACCCCCGCCACGUGUGACGGCGUUGUUGAAAAGAACCAGGACAUGGAAACCAGGUUCCAUGUCCUAAAGUUCUAUUCUAAUUUCUAAGUUCAAAUUCUCACCCUAGUAACCUCUGCCCGUCCGACCACCUGCCCUCUUGACCCCAUUUCAUCACGUCUUCUACAAUCUAUCGCUCCUGACCUUCUUUCUUUCCUCACCUGUCUCAUCAACAAUGCUCUGUUAUCUGGCUGUUUUCCCAAUUCUCUGAAGGAGGCUCUGAAGAAAACAACUACACUUUAAAAACUGGGAUUGGCGUUAAUUAAUAUCUACUAAAUAAAUAAUAGUAAUAAACCUAAUAAAAAAGACUAAGUAGAGUUUUGAAU
This is a long non-coding RNA of Gasterosteus aculeatus aculeatus (three-spined stickleback), 1204 nucleotides long. The record is from Ensembl. Lineage: Eukaryota; Metazoa; Chordata; Actinopteri; Perciformes; Gasterosteidae.